This 497-nucleotide ribosomal RNA is filed under the name uncultured bacterium. RNAcentral's name for it is "partial 16S ribosomal RNA". It matches the Rfam family "Bacterial small subunit ribosomal RNA", at positions 28 to 507 of the family's 1533-position model. The record is from RNAcentral.
GAUGAACGCUGGCGGCGUGCCUAAUACAUGCAAGUCGAGCGAACAGACGAGGAGCUUGCUCCUCUGACGUUAGCGGCGGACGGGUGAGUAACACGUGGAUAACCUACCUAUAAGACUGGGAUAACUUCGGGAAACCGGAGCAAAUACCGGAUAAUAUAUUGAACCGCAUGGUUCAAUAGUGAAAGACGGUUUUGCUGUCACUUAUAGAUGGAUCCGCGCCGCAUUAGCUAGUUGGUAAGGUAACGGCUUACCAAGGCAACGAUGCGUAGCCGACCUGAGAGGGUGGUCGGCCACACUGGAACUGAGACACGGUCCAGACUCCUGCGGGAGGCAGCAGUAGGGAAUCUUCCGCAAUGGGCGAAAGCCUGACGGAGCAACGCCGCGUGAGUGAUGAAGGUCUUCGGAUCGUAAAACUCUGUUAUUAGGGAAGAACAAAUGUGUAAGUAACUAUGCACGUCUUGACGGUACCUAAUCAGAAAGCCACGGCUAACUACGUG